CCGAGCUUUCCACCUGUUCGGCAUAGUUUCGAGCUGCAUCUGAAGAAAUGUCGCUUCCCGCGGCAUGUCAACACGAGAACACGAGGAUCUGUUGUUCUUCCAUGAAAUUACCCACGGCAGCUGAUCCUGGCAUUCUUGCAGGACUCGAAGCUAGGAAGAGUCAGCGCUACCGUCCACGGAGACCUGGAGCGAGGAGAGGUCCGGGAGGCAUCGCCCCACUCCUGAACUGGCUUCACGGAUUCGGACUCGAAGCGCCGAAGGCCACCCUGAAAAGAUCUCCCCUUUAGAUGGCCACUCUCGAGACUGGUCGCCCCUCCCCGAUGUCGGAAACAGCCUGGCAAGCCCGAGCGGUCGCGCUUCCAGUGCAGCUAUUGCGAGUACAAGAGCGAGUACAAGUGCUACGUGGUGGCACACGAACGCAUUCACACGGGGGAGCGUCCAUACAAGUGCCCGCUGUGUAGCAAGGCCUUCACCUUCAAGCACCACGUGACUACACACCUGCGCUGCCACACCGGAGAGAAACCCUUCCGCUGCAGCAUGUGCCCGCGCUCCUUUGCGCAGAAGAGCAACCUGAACCAGCACCUGCUCAUUCAUCGGAACAACGUGCGCUGAGGGCGGUGGGUGAGACGCUUGAAUUGGGACGUCAUUUGGAAAUCCGUUCUAAUCGGAACUCUUUGACGCUUCAGACUUCACUUUUUAAGGAGUUGUUUUGUGUACUGUGUACUUCUGUUACAAAAGGCUUACCACAAAGUAUCACUGUGGCGGAUACCUGCAGCAAAGGUCGAACGUUGUGCCGUCAACGACAGAAUUGUGUAGUUCUCAAAAUAUAAGUUUAAAGGGGCACUAAAAUUGGAUCUUGAGAUCCAGUUUUAGCUGGACUUAAACUGAAACGAAGUAUAGGAGAGAGCGUGAUGCCAGCCAUGUAGCUUCCACAAGCAAUCCUCUCUUGGAGGAGUGUCCCCUUCUAAUACUUCCGAUCUCCUCACUUGCGCUGACCGUGCAAGAAGUAGCGAAAGUUUGAAAUGCUGCGGGAAAGCUAUCCCCCAGUACAAAUAAAGUGAUGCAUUCCACAU
RNAcentral lists this unclassified non-coding RNA (1073 nucleotides) under Ixodes scapularis (black-legged tick). RNAcentral's name for it is "uncharacterized LOC115316857, transcript variant X3". The record is from RNAcentral. Lineage: Eukaryota; Metazoa; Arthropoda; Arachnida; Ixodida; Ixodidae.